Molecule: long non-coding RNA, 918 nt
Organism: Chenopodium quinoa (quinoa)
Lineage: Eukaryota; Viridiplantae; Streptophyta; Magnoliopsida; Caryophyllales; Amaranthaceae
Exons: 4
Source: RefSeq, a predicted model, not a curated record
AUGAAUUACGCAGCGCACUUUUCGCACCAGUUCUUGAAAACCAGUGGGAAAAGAAAUGGGCAGGAUUGGGGAAAAUAUUUUUCCCACCGGUUCCUAAUAAACCGGUGCGAAAUCAUAUUUUUCGCACCGGUUCAAACCAGUGCGAAUUACGAAAUAUAAAAAAAAAAACCGGGCUGCUUUUCUUCUUCUUUCUUUCUUUCUUUCUUUCCAUGUUCUGUACUUUUAAUUUCCCUCUCGUUUUCGCCUUCGUUCUCUAUCCAGAAUCCCGAAUUGCCCUAGCUUUCUUACUCCAUUGAAGCAUCACCUCCGCCUUCUCACUCCAUUGAAGCAGCACCUCCGCCUCCAUUGAAUCGUGCUCUAUAUUCUCCAUUGAAGCCGAAUCUGAGCUUUCUCACCUCCAUUGAAGCUGCUCCUGCAGGAACUCUAAGGGUCUUAUUGUUCUAAUGAAGACUACUGAUAAGGGCCUGAUAAUGAAAGUGAUUACCCAGAUGGGUCUUUUUCCUCUGAUCCCGAUGAAGGUCAUAAAGGUUCAUCACAAGAAAUGAAGAGAAGCCUCAAUUGUCAAAUUUAGCUUUCUACAAUAUCUGUACUACCAAAAUGCAAGAAAGAGAACUUUUAAAGUUCAUCAACCAACAAAAUGGAAUCAGAUAUGGUCAAAAUCAGAACAUGAGACAAGAGAUGUAUCUCUAAGGAUCAAAAAUCUGUGGCUGCAUCUAUAACAAAAAAAGACUUCAGAGUGAAAGCUGGCAAAUAAAGGGAGCGUUCAUUUGCAGUUCACACUCAGAUAAUUGAUUACCACUCAUUCAUACUCACUCGUCUAGAAAUAUGUUAAUUAGCGGUUAAUAAGAGUCUACAAGAAAGAACAAAUUGUACUCUUCAAAUUGUACUACAGUAAGAGACUAUAAUAGAUAAUUUAAA